ACUCCCUCAUCCCAACCCCACUCUAUAGUCACAAUAAAUGUAGAGCCAGUCUCUUUUCCCUGUUCUCUCAAGCCAAUUUCAGACUAUUUGGGAACCUGUCUCGCGGUCCAUUGGAAGGUCCAGUAUGUUAGCAGGUGGAUCUGACUGUGUAUUGGUGUUUGGGGACCAGCAUCUGUUUGGAAGGGAAGCCAAUAAUGGGGAUUCCGUCCAAUAGAUAAGAAUGUUCGUCAACUGGCAGCUUUUUUUGCCUGGCUCAAGCCUCCGGAACUGAUGGCAAUAAAGAUCAGUGAAGAUUUCUGGCCUCAUUUUACCUCUGAGAAAGGAAUCAGAUUGCAUGAACAGGCUUAAAUGUCUCAGCAGACUCAAAAUGGGCCAUGAAAAUUAUGUUGGAUUUGACAAAGGAGGCAAGAACAUACAUCGGAGUCAAGACAGUCUCUUCAAUAAACGGUGUUGGGAAAAUUGGACAGACACAUGCAAAAAAAUGAA
Long non-coding RNA from Myotis myotis, 486 nucleotides. RefSeq lists it as uncharacterized. The transcript has 4 exons. The record is from RefSeq and is a predicted model, not a curated record. NCBI's taxonomy places the organism in Eukaryota, Metazoa, Chordata, Mammalia, Chiroptera, Vespertilionidae.